ACGCUCGACACCUACGGGAGGCGGCAGUGGGGGAAUAUUGCACAAUGGGGGGAAACCCUGAUGCAGCGACGCCGCGUGAAGGAAGAAGUAUUUCGGUAUGUAAACUUCUAUCAGCAGGGAAGAAACUGACGGUACCUGACUAAGAAGCACCGGCUAAAUACGUGCAGCAGGCCGCGGUAAUCUGAGGCGGGCUGGGCAACGGC
Molecule: ribosomal RNA, 203 nt
Filed under: uncultured bacterium
Lineage: Bacteria
Description: partial 16S ribosomal RNA
Rfam family: Bacterial small subunit ribosomal RNA
Source: RNAcentral